UACGGAGGGUGCAAGCGUUAUCCGGAUUUGCUGGGUUUAAAGGGUGCGUAGGUGGGCAGGUAAGUCAGUGGUGAAAUCUCCGGGCUUAACCCGGAAACUGCCAUUGAUACUAUCUGUCUUGAAUAUCCUGGAGGUAAGCGGAAUAUGUCAUGUAGCGGUGAAAUGCUUAGAUAUGACAUAGAACACCAAUUGCGAAGGCAGCUUACUACGGGAUCAUUGACACUGAGGCACGAAAGCGUGGGGAUCAAACAGG
This 253-nucleotide ribosomal RNA is filed under the name uncultured bacterium. RNAcentral's name for it is "partial 16S ribosomal RNA". It matches the Rfam family "Bacterial small subunit ribosomal RNA", at positions 524 to 776 of the family's 1533-position model. The record is from RNAcentral.